CAGUAGCCGCGGUAAUACGAAGGGUGCAAGCGUUAAUCGGAAUUACUGGGCGUAAAGCGUGCGUAGGCGGUGAGUUAAGUCUGCUGUGAAAUCCCCGGGCUCAACCUGGGAAUGGCAGUGGAUACUGGCUCGCUAGAGUGUGUCAGAGGAUGGUGGAAUUCCCGGUGUAGCGGUGAAAUGCGCAGAGAUCGGGAGGAACAUCAGUGGCGAAGGCGGCCAUCUGGGACAACACUGACGCUGAGGCACGAAAGCGUGGGGAGCAAACAGGAUUAGAUACCCCCGUAGUCCCUGUCUCUUAUAC
Molecule: ribosomal RNA, 301 nt
Filed under: uncultured bacterium
Lineage: Bacteria
Description: partial 16S ribosomal RNA
Rfam family: Bacterial small subunit ribosomal RNA
Source: RNAcentral